UAAACGUAAAUUUGCUGCGGAACUUCGUUGGCAUUUUGUUACAAUGAAAGUUUUUAAUAUGGCAAAUGUUUUAUAAUAAUACGCAUUGAUUAUAUUAAAUAUUUUUUCGUAUGUAUGUAUGUAAAUAAAAAGUGUGCACAUGGCUAUGUAAGCGUAUAUACUUUAUAAUUUAUUAGAGGCAGCUCCUCGGUCAUCGCACUACCCCUCCGUUUACCAAUUUUCAUGGCAUAAAAAUCCAUGUUAUCUGCGGUACAGCGCGCCGUGCGGCCUAUCGCUUGAAAUUUUCGAAAGCAUAAAGGAUUACGAAGAAUUUUCCUACGCAAACAAUUCUUCUUCUUCUUUAUUGUCGUAGCACCCCGCUUAUAUAGCCGAGUUAUAGUCCAGUUAACAACAGCGCGCCAGCCGUUCUUCUUGUUUGACGCUAAUUGGAGAUUCUAAGUGUAGCCACAAGGUCCUUCUCCACUUGUUCUUUCCAUCGAAGUCAUUUCUAGUCCAUUCGGACGACAUGACCUAGCCAGCAUAGCCACUGUCUAUUAACACGCUGAA
Long non-coding RNA from Bactrocera dorsalis (oriental fruit fly), 546 nucleotides. RefSeq lists it as uncharacterized. Lineage: Eukaryota; Metazoa; Arthropoda; Insecta; Diptera; Tephritidae. The record is from RefSeq and is a predicted model, not a curated record. The transcript is spliced from 3 exons.